RNAcentral lists this ribosomal RNA (232 nucleotides) under uncultured bacterium. Its description in RNAcentral is "partial 16S ribosomal RNA". It matches the Rfam family "Bacterial small subunit ribosomal RNA", at positions 85 to 334 of the family's 1533-position model. The record is from RNAcentral.
CAAUACGGCAGCGGCAGACGGGAUAGUAACACGUGGGGACGCGCCCUUCGGUUCGGAAUAACUCAGGGAAACUUGAGCUAAUACCGGAUACGCCCUAACGGGGAAAGAUUUAUUGCCGAAGGAACGGCCCGCGUCCGAUUAGCUAGUUGGUGAGGUAAUGGCUCACCAAGGCGACGAUCGGUAGCUGGUCUGAGAGGAUGACCAGCAUCACUGGGACUGAGACACGGCCCAG